GUCACUUUGUCGAGCCCAUCCUUGAUCUCUGUGAUGGCGUUCUGCAUGGCCAUGGAUGAAUGACGAAGGCCAUGGAGGUCGUCAUGAUGGCAGCCACGGUGAAAGCUAGGAAAGGAUCGCUUGAAUCUGAUACCAAGAUAUUGUGUGCGUAGAUUGAAUUGGGGUGCUCGACGGGAGGGCGAAGGGCGAGGCCUGCAGCCUCCCUGUCCCAGAGCUUGAAUGAGGAUGGACAUAGAAGGGAGGACUAGAUAUAGAUUUAACUUUCUUGAUUGAUUGAUUCUAAUUGACUAACAACCCUAUCUAACAAAGCCUAACAAACUAACUGAAUACUUCAGAUGGGCUGAGUUCCGUCCGAAGUCCUGGAUAAAUUUAUUAGACGAGUACAUCAGAAUUGGUGUCUCUGAUUAUCCAACUUGUUUUAAAAUGCAUACAAAAUACCCGAAUUAUGUAAUAGUUGUUUCACCCCUAACAUAGGUGAGCAAGUACUGAAUGUGCAGUAGGUUGAUGCAGAUCCUUGGCCUCUUCACCUCUUCAGAUAGGUUUUAUCUACUGUUCCAAGAGGAUAUUAUACGAACUGCCAAUAAAGCUCAACAGUUUGUUGUAAAGUUCAACUUGAAAGUUUUUGAAAUAG
Molecule: small RNA, 631 nt
Filed under: Oryza sativa Japonica Group (Japanese rice)
Lineage: Eukaryota; Viridiplantae; Streptophyta; Magnoliopsida; Poales; Poaceae
Description: sRNA Os12g0261450
Source: RNAcentral